ACAUUCCCAUCACUUGCUAACUUGGAGUGGGGAUUAUUUUACCACUCUGCGCCUCACUUUUUUCAAAUUUAAAGUGGGGAUAAUAUUACCUACCUCACAGAAUUGCUAUAAGAAUAUGUAUGAGUAUUCAGAAAUGUUAAGUAUCAUAUUAGUUUAAAUACAUACAUACAUAUAUAUGUAUAGAUACAAUGUUUUAGUUUCCUCUCAAUUUACACUGAAUAACUUCCUCACUUGGGAAGCCUGAGCAGUUACAAAGCAGUGGAUUUUAGUUCCUCUACACUCUGUGCUGCUGAUCUUCCAGUUUCAAGUUAUGUGGACCUCCUCUUCCCUUGUGCCCCUGGAGUUUCUGCUGAUCUAAAUGACACUUUGUUUCCCACGGGUGGUUCUGGCUGCUCUCACCUCAAGUCUGUGGAAUUUUCAGAAGACUCUCAUUCAAGUGGCAGAAUCAGCGGAACGUGUGUGACCUUCACUGCAUUGUUGAAUGAUUGCCCAUCAGAAAAUACAAAGAGUAAAAGACUACUGGGCAAGGAUAAAUUCUAGAAAUUGAAAUACUGAGUCCAAGAGUAUGAACAACCCUUCAAGGUCCUAAAUGGGGGAGGACCAGAGCUGGUAAUUUAUUUAUUUAUUUAUUUAUUUAUUUAUUUAUUUAUUUAUUUAUUUAUUGUCCUGGGUAUCUGCCGUCAUGCUACUAGCUAGGUAGACAGCAGGUAAUAGGUGUGGUAAUGAUUCAGGGCCUGGGCAGGCCCUGGAGAAAGGCUGGGCAGUGCUCUUGCUAUUGAGGCAGGGUCGGUGGGACUGCCCUUUAGAAAUGUUUAUUUCCUCUUGAUGCAGUGUGUAGAGGGGAGGCGACAUGGAGAGGAAGAGUUCAUCAAAGCAGUGAGUCUAGACCACAAGUGAAAUGUAUAGCCUUUUAAGACGAAUAUCAUCACAAGAAAAUGCCUCUGCUCACUAAAAACCACCAGUUCAGCUAAAGACUUUCUUGAUGUAGUGUAGCUUCCCUUGCGCUACACCGUAAGUUACUCACAUUCAGCAAAUGACUAUCUGUAAAUAUUCCUUCUGCCCCCUCAUUACUGCCACAUUCUCCCUCAAGUCCCCCUUCCCCAGAUGAACAUUACCUGUCCUUUGCCAGCUUUCUGUGAUGCAGUAUCACAUAAUAGCAAAAGCACAGACUUGAUUGGCCACUGUCCUAGUCUGAUUCCUGUCUGUGCCCUGUAGGUUGGACAAUCUUUUCUUCUUAAAAUUGAAGUAUCUUUGAUACACAAUGCUACGUUAGUUUCAUGUGUACAACGCAGUGAUUUGACAUGUGUAUAUGUUAUACUAUGUUUACCACGAGUGUAGCUACGGUGUGUUAUCAUGUAACACUGCUUCAAUACCAUUGACUAUUUAUAUCCUCUGUAUUGUACCUUUUAUUCCUCUGGCUUAUUCACUCCAUAACUGGAAGCCUGCAUAUCCCACUCCUCUUCGUUCAUUUUGCCAUCCUCUGGCAACCAUCAGUUUGUUCUUGAUCUGUUUGUGCUUUUUGUCAGUUCAUUCAUUUUUUUUUUUUUUUAGAUUCUGCAUAUAAGUGAAAUCAUGUGAUAUUUUCUUUCUCUCUCUUAUUUUACUUAGCACAGUACCCCUAAGGUCCAUCCAUGUGGUCCCAAAUGGCAAGAUCUUAUUCUUUGUUAUGGUUGAAUAAUAUUCCAGUGUGUGUGUGCGUGUCACAUCUCCUUUAUCCAUUUAGCUAUCAAUGGACACUUGGGUUGCUUCCAUAUCUUGGCUAUUGUAAAUAAUGCUGCAAUAAAUAUAGGUGUGCAUAUAUUUUUUUGAAUUGGUGUUUUCAUUUUCUUUGGGUAAACAUCCAAUACUGGAUCAUAUGAUAAUUCUAUUUUUAAUUUUUUGAGGAAUUUCCACACCGUUUUCCAGAGGCUGCCCCAAUUUACAUUCCCACCAACAGUGCACAGGGAUUCCUUUUUUUCCCCACAACCUCACCAACAUUGACUGACUUUUUGAUUCUUAGUUUCUUACCUUUAAAAUAAUACAGAGUUGGGGAUGCCUGGGUGGCUCAGUUGGUUGAGUGUCUGACUUUAGCUCAAGUCAUGAUCUAGGGUUCAUGGGUUUGAGCCCUGUGUCAGGCUCACUGUUGUCAGUGCGGAGCCUGCUUUGGAUCCUCUGUUCACCUCUCUCUCUGCCCCUCCCCCCUCACACUCUCCCUCUGUCUCAAAAAUAAACAAAACAUUAAAAAAUUAAAAAAAAUAAUACAGGGUUGUUAUGACAGGCAAAUGUAGUGCCAUGAGCAGAAAAAAAAAACAGCUAACCUUCACUGAGUUCUUACUACAAGUAUAACAAAACAAAACACUGUUCUAAGGGUUUAAAAUGCAUACAUUUACUUAUUCUUCAAAAUAAUCUGUGAUAAACUGGAUUCUAGAAAGCUCUCAUGGUUUUCAUCCCUGGUGUUACUUCUGUGAUUAUGUUACAUGAUGUGAUAAAAGGGACUUUGAAGAUGUGAUUACAUGACUAAGCAGUUGACCUGGAGAUAGGAUUAUCUAGGUAGGCCUGGAUAUUAUAAUCACAUAAUCCCAUGGGCCCUUUAAAGCAAAAAGUUUUCUCUGGCUGUUGGUAAAAGAAAUCAGAGAGAUUUAAAGUAUGAGACGGGCUCAACUUGAUUGCUGCUUUAAAGAUGGGAGGGGUCACAUAAAAAGAAGCCUGGGCAGCCUCAAGGAGCA
Molecule: long non-coding RNA, 2705 nt
Organism: Acinonyx jubatus (cheetah)
Lineage: Eukaryota; Metazoa; Chordata; Mammalia; Carnivora; Felidae
Exons: 3
Source: RefSeq, a predicted model, not a curated record